RNAcentral lists this small RNA (209 nucleotides) under Arabidopsis thaliana (thale cress). RNAcentral's name for it is "ATSL171650". Lineage: Eukaryota; Viridiplantae; Streptophyta; Magnoliopsida; Brassicales; Brassicaceae. The record is from RNAcentral.
GGUGAUCUCGUGUCUCCAAUUCCUCAUCACAGAACACACAACCAUGCCAAGCUUCAGAAUUCCAUUUGCGGAGUUUAUCACCCGUCGCAAGUCUGUUCUGAAAAGCAAGCCAAGUGAUGAACGAGAAUUUCGGAGUAGCAGAAGAGAACCAGACCCCCCGAUACCAAUCGCAGCUUGGGUUUAUGGUUCUUAUUUGCUGCCAAGUAGUU